GUAGGGUGCGAGCGUUAAUCGGAAUUACUGGGCGUAAAGCGUGCGCAGGCGGUCUUGUAAGUCAGAUGUGAAAUCCCCGGGCUUAACCUGGGAACUGCGUUUGAAACUACAAGGCUAGAGUGUAGCAGAGGGGGGUGGAAUUCCACGUGUAGCAGUGAAAUGCGUAGAGAUGUGGAGGAACACCGAUGGCGAAGGCAGCCCCCUGGGUUAACACUGACGCUCAGGCACGAAAGCGUGGGGAGCAAACAGGAUUAGAUACCCUGGUAGUCCACGCCCUAAACGAUGUCAACUAGUUGUCGGGUCUUAACGGACUUGGUAACGCAGCUAACGCGUGAAGUUGACCGCCUGGGGAGUACGGUCGCAAGAUUA
Molecule: ribosomal RNA, 369 nt
Filed under: uncultured bacterium
Lineage: Bacteria
Description: bacterial SSU rRNA
Rfam family: Bacterial small subunit ribosomal RNA
Source: RNAcentral